This 532-nucleotide ribosomal RNA is filed under the name uncultured archaeon. Its description in RNAcentral is "bacterial SSU rRNA". It matches the Rfam family "Archaeal small subunit ribosomal RNA", at positions 347 to 879 of the family's 1478-position model. The record is from RNAcentral.
ACUCUACAAUGCAGGCAACUGCGAUAGGGGAACAUCGAGUGGCACCCACCAUGGGUGUCUGUCCAACCGUCUAAAAAACGGUUGUUAGCGAGGGCCGGGUAAGACCGGUGCCAGCCGCCGCGGUAAUACCGGCGGCUCGAGUGGUGGCCGAUAUUAUUGAGUCUAAAGGGUCCGUAGCUGGCUUUGCAAGUCCCCUGGGAAAUCCAGCGGCUUAACCGUUGGGCUUCCAUGGGAUACUACAUUGCUUGGGACUGGGAGAGGUAGGAGGUACUCAGGGGGUAGGGGUGAAAUCCUGUAAUCCUCUGGGGACCACCGGUGGCGAAGGCGUCCUACCAGAACAGGUCCGACAGUGAGGGACGAAAGCUAGGGGCACGAACCGGAUUAGAUACCCGGGUAGUCCUAGCCGUAAACGAUGCUCGCUAGGUGUCACGGCAGUCGUGAAUUGUCGUGGUGCCGUAGGGAAGCCGUGAAGCGAGCCACUUGGGAAGUACGACCGCAAGGUUGAAACUUAAAGGAAUUGGCGGGGGAGCAC